RNAcentral lists this ribosomal RNA (481 nucleotides) under uncultured bacterium. Its description in RNAcentral is "partial 16S ribosomal RNA". It matches the Rfam family "Bacterial small subunit ribosomal RNA", at positions 30 to 506 of the family's 1533-position model. The record is from RNAcentral.
AUUGAACGCUGGCGGCAUGAUUUACACAUGCAAGUCGAACGGUAACAGGCCGCAAGGUGCUGACGAGUGGCGAACGGGUGAGUAAUGCAUCGGAACGUGCCCAGUCGUGGGGGAUAACUACUCGAAAGAGUAGCUAAUACCGCAUACGAUCUAUGGAUGAAAGCGGGGGACCGUAAGGCCUCGCGCGAUUGGAGCGGCCGAUGUCAGAUUAGGUAGUUGGUGGGGUAAAGGCUCACCAAGCCAACGAUCUGUAGCUGGUCUGAGAGGACGACCAGCCACACUGGGACUGAGACACGGCCCAGACUCCUACGGGAGGCAGCAGUGGGGAAUUUUGGACAAUGGGCGCAAGCCUGAUCCAGCAAUGCCGCGCGCAGGAAGAAGGCCUUCGGGUUGUAAACUGCUUUUGUACGGAACGAAACGGCUCUGGUUAAUACCCGGGGCUAAUGACGGUACCGUAAGAAUAAGCACCGGCUAACUACGU